UAUGAUGAGAGUUUAAAUUCCUACCACAGCCAUAUAUACAUGCUUGCUAGACUUUGAGCCACACGUUUACUUUUUACUGCUUAUGAGCAUUGAGUGUGGUCAAGCUGUGUAGACCCUUAGGAGCUUGUCAUGUGGUUAAAUCAAGAUUUACUUGCACGUUCACUCACAUGCUGCUGCUCCGGAAGUACGCAUCCACUAUAUCCACCCAUUUCAAUCUCCAGAACCAGCUAAAAAUAUUCUACUCCUAAUCCGGGAGAGAAUAGCCAAAAAUAUUUCUGUUUACCCCUGUGAAAUAAAUACUCAAGUUAUCUUCGUUACUGCCACUUGCUAUAUUAUUUCAGGAGAUGAGUGCUCUAAAAAAAGAAAAGACAAAGAUACGAGGAAAUAAAAAGGGGCAAGUGCCCGGAACCUCGAAAGAAAAUAAAAAGUGAGACGAGAGGUAAAAAUGGACAAGUGUCUGACAGUAGAAUUAGGGGUACAAGAUACCCACCUGAGAGAAAAAAAAGAAAUAUAGAGCAUCUCAUUCUCCUCAAAAAGUUUCAAAAGAGUAAGGGAGGUAUGUAUCCCCUCAGAAGAGCACAAGUAGAAUUAGACUUUCACCAUUGUUAUCACCAUCAUCACCAUUCACCAUUCAUUCGCCACACAUGCACAUCUUGAUUUGACUUAUUGACUUGUUUCUUUGGAUCCAUGGUUUGACUAUACAAUAAAUGUCUUGUAAGUAUGUAUACUUUAUCUCCCACCUAUGAGCUCCAGAUAUAAAAGCCUUAUUAGAAUAGGG
This 778-nucleotide long non-coding RNA is filed under the name Sorghum bicolor (sorghum). RNAcentral's name for it is "long non-coding RNA (SBIC_LNC000870)". The record is from RNAcentral. Lineage: Eukaryota; Viridiplantae; Streptophyta; Magnoliopsida; Poales; Poaceae.